AAGUCGUAACAAGGUUUCCGUAGGUGAACCUGCGGAAGGAUCAUUAACAAUCCUAACCGAUUCUUUGUUCCGGUUCGCCGGUCAGAGUCUUAAACCCUUUGUGAAAACAAAAGUCUUUUGCUUCGGCAGCCGGUCGGGCCUUCCUUACCGAUUCUCGACCGUCAGCCUGCCGGUGGCACCAACCAAACUUGUUAUUUCUGUACAGUCUGAAAAACAUUUUUUGAAUGAAAUCAAAA
RNAcentral lists this unclassified non-coding RNA (236 nucleotides) under plant metagenome. Its description in RNAcentral is "partial contains small subunit ribosomal RNA and internal transcribed spacer 1". The stretch from base 1 to 46 matches the Rfam family "Eukaryotic small subunit ribosomal RNA", at positions 1786 to 1831 of the family's 1831-position model. The record is from RNAcentral.